GGUUGAUCCCGCCGGAGACUACUGUUAUCAGGAUUCGACUAAGCCAUGCGAGGCGACUGCCGCAAGGCAGGCCGCACUGCUCAGUAGCACGUAGUCAACCUGCCCUUAGGAGGAGAAUAAUCCCGGGAAACUGGGCGUAAUGCUCCAUAGAUGAUUAUUGCUGGAAGGCGUUUUCAUUGAAAGCUUUUGCACCUAAGGAUGGGACUGCGGCGGAUUAGCUUGUUGUCGAGGUAAAAGCUCAACAAGGCUAUAAUCCGUACGGGUCGUGAGAGCGAUAGCCCGGAGAUGGUUUCUGAGACAUGAAACCAGGCCCUACGGGGCGCAGCAGGCGCGAAACCUUUGCAAUGGGCGAAAGCCUGACAAGGGAAUCCUGAGUGACAUCGCAUAGCGAUGUCUUUUUUUGACUGUAAACAGGUCAACGAAUAAGUGGUGGGCAAGACGGUUGCCAGCCGCCGCGGUAAUAACCGCGCCACGAAUGGUAGUCACGUUUAUUUGGCCUAAAGCGUCCGUAGCUGGCUUGAUAAGUCUCUGGUGAAACCCAACAGCAAACUGUUGGAAUGGCUGGAGAUACUGUCAGGCUUGGGACCGGGAGAGGUCGGGGGUACUUCAUGGGUAGGGGUAAAAUCCUUUAAUCCAUGGGGGACCAUCUGUGGCGAAGGCGCCCGACUGGAACGGGUCCGACAGUGAGGGACGAAAGCGUAGGGAGCGAUCGGGAUUAGAUACCCCGGUAGUCUACGCUGUAAACGAUGCCCACUUGGUGUCGCCGAACCUUUGGGGUUCUGCGGUGCCGUAGCGAAGGUGUUAAGUGGGCCGCCUGGGGAGUACGACCGCAAGGUUGAAACUUAAGAGAAUUGGCGGGGGAGCACUACCAGGGGUGGAGGCUGCGGUUCAAUUGGAUUCAACGCCAGGAACCUUACCUGAGAAGACAGCAGAAUGAGGGUCACUCUGAAGGGGUUACCUGACAAGCUGAGAAGUGCUGCAUGGCCGUCGUCAGUUCGUGCCGUGAGGUGUCAUGCUAAGCCAUGAAACGAACGAGAUCUGCGCCUCUAGUUGCUAAUCUUAUCUCCGGAUAAGAUGCACUCUAGCGGGACCGCUGCUGCUAAAGCAGAGGAAGGAGCAGGCUACGGCAGGUCAGUAUGGCCUAAAUUUUCAGGGUUACACGCGGCCUACAAUGCGUAGGACAAUGGGAUGCAACACCGUAAGGUGAAGCCAAUCUCCUAAACCUACGCCCAGUUCGGAUCGAGGGCUGCAACUCGCCCUCGUGAAGCCGGAAUCCCUAGUAAGCGAAGGUCAUCAUCUUUCGCUGAAUACGUCCCUGCUCCUUGCACACACCGCCCGUCAAGCCAUCCGAGUGAAGUUUUGGUGAGGUCUGUGAUGAUCAGCUCGAACCAAUUCUUUGCAAGGAGGGCUAAGUCGUAACAAGGUAGCCGUACGGGAACGUGCGGCUG
This 1448-nucleotide ribosomal RNA is filed under the name metagenome. Its description in RNAcentral is "bacterial SSU rRNA". It matches the Rfam family "Archaeal small subunit ribosomal RNA". The record is from RNAcentral.